GUGGAAGUCGACGAAGAUGAUGCCACAAACCCAGCCGGCCCAUUUAGGAUUCCAAAAUGUAGGAAGGAGUUUCAGCAAGCACAACACCUGAAAGCUUGCCAACAAUGGCUCCACAAGCAGGCAAUGCAGUCCGGUAGUGGCCCAAGCUGGACCCUCGACGGUGAGUUUGAUUUUGAAGAUGACAUGGAGAACCCCCAGGGCCCACAACAGAGGCCGCCACUACUCCAGCAGUGCUGCAACGAGCUCCACCAGGAAGAGCCACUUUGCGUUUGCCCAACCUUGAAAGGAGCAUCCAAAGCCGUUAAACAACAGGUUCGACAACAGCAAGGACAGCAGGGACAGCAGCUGCAGCAAGUAAUUAGCCGUAUCUACCAGACUGCUACGCACUUACCUAAAGUUUGCAACAUCCCGCAAGUUAGCGUUUGUCCCUUCCAGAAGACCAUGCCUGGACCCUCCUACUAGAUUCCAAACGAAACCCUCGAGUGUAUGAAUGUGGUUGUCGAUAUAUGUCAACGCCACACUUCAUCUCGUAAUAUGUAAGGUCUUAUCUAGGAUGUUUGAGGCUAUGUAAUUAGCACUACUCCGUAAUAAAAGAGGUUUUUAAUGUUUUAUUCGGUGUGCAUGCUCUCUAAGUGGUCCAAGAUUUUAGUAUUCGAGCAAAUUUUCCUAUCAAAUUUGUGCGUUACUUGAUCAACUUAACUCGUACAUGUACAUCCAUGGGCGAAUCUACGUGACGUAGGGAGGGGGCAGCUGCCCCCAUUUAAUUUUAAAAAUGUUAAAUAUAUAACCAUAACAAAACAGAUAAUGUUGACUAUAGUGGUUCUAGUGGUUAUUGCCUCCACUAACUAAAUAUAUUUCCUCCCGUUGGUUUAUGUUUUCAGUCACGUUUUUGCUUUUAUUUCUAAAGUUAUUUAGUUUCCAACAUAAAUUUUAAACUAUUUUCUAAUUUACAUCUCCUAUAAAUGCACAAUCUAAUUAUCAUUACUUUUAGGAUUUCAAGUCAUACAAUAAUAUAUAAAUCUAUGAUAUUAUUCUUUUUACUAUAUCUUGUUUUCUUUCAUCAUUUUUGUUAAUUAUUAUUGAAUAACUAUUUCUUGGAAUGUAUAUUUACUUUUAAGGAUAUAAAUUAAAGAGUAAUCACAUAUUUUAUAAAGGAAAACCAUUUUAAACUAACGUCUAUAUAUUCCUAUACAAUAUUUGAUAUAAUAUCGUCUAAUGGGUUACCUAUCCUCAGUUGGCUUCUCACCUCUCAUCCAAACCCUUUAAGUUGGGUAUAUCAACGUCGAUUUCGACUAUUUCAAGCUCUUUAGAGCUACCGUUUCAGGGUUACAAGUGAAGCGUAUCUAAGGGUUCCUUUACUUUGAGCACGUCUCUCCCUUUAACAUUGUUUUCUCAUGUUUUGUUGUAGUACUUUUAGUAUUCAUUUUAUAGUUGAAUGUUCCUCCGGUUGUAGUUCUUUAAGCCUUUAGGCCUUUAAUAUAUUGUGUUUCAAAAUAUAUAUAUAUAUAUAUAUAUAUAUAUAUAUAUAUAUCUAUAUAUGUAUAUAUAUUUAUAUUAGUUUUAAUUGUAGGUUCCUAAAAACUAUGGAAAAUCUAACCGAAGUAUCUAAAAUUAGAUAUUUAAUUUUCAGUUAGAUUUUCCAUAGUUUUUAGAAAUCUGUAAUGAAAUAUUAAUAUAAAUAUAUAAUUACAUAUAUACAUAUAUUAAGAAUUGUUUGGAUAGAACCCCCAUUAAAAAAAUACUCUAAUGUAAUUACAUAUUUUAUGAGUAGUAUUUGGAAGUAUGUUAUACCCAUCCCACCAGAUUUAUCCCACAGAGGGGUUAACUAUUUUAUGAUUCAGAAAACUUAAUCUGCAAAGUGAAAAUAUAACACGCAUCUAUCUCGUUUAAAUUUGCGGAGAACCUACAAGAGCCGUUUACAUAUUACUUAUAAUUUUUUUUAUAAGUAAUAUGUAAACGGAUAUUGUAGAUUUUCCGCAAGUUUAAACGAGAUAAGAUGUGUGUUAUAUUACUUAUAAUAAAAUAAUUAUUUCAUAUAUUUUUAAUUAUACUUUUAUCAGAAUAUAUUAUAUAGUUAUAACUAAAGUUAUAUAGAUAGUUAUAGUUUAACAUAUGAUUUAUGUGUAUAAAUAAUAAUUUACGGGAUGAUGUAUAUCCAUAAUUCAAAUUUGAUCGACAAUGGACAUGCAUCAGCCUAAAUUAUAAUUAGACCAAUCGUACGAAGUAGAUCCAGAUAGAACGAUUUUAAAUAUAUGAAAUAUAUGAAAAAUAUAUAUAUAUAUAUAUAUAUAUAUAUCUCCUAUACAUUAAAACAGAAGUCACUUUAGUGAUUUUUGCUGAGGUGGCACUCAUAUAGAGCUUCUCAGGAAAAACGAAUUCUAUUGGUUGGUUUUUUUGAAUUUCUCUUUUUCAUUUUUUUUUUCAUUCCCCUCCGUGUUUUCUAAAACGCCGUCGUAUGUCCUGAAUUUAUUCUUUUUUUUUCAAUCGCGUAUCAAUGGAAGCUCUAUAUGGUUUCGAUCCGAUGAAGAGAGUCCGACCAAAGGAAUUUGCUACUCCCUACUCUGCUACUUCAAUCAUAUCCAUCGCGAACAUCAACGAUAACCAGACGAGGUUUAGUUUGUCGAUACUCUCAGAAUUUACGGUUUUUUUGGUUUAUCUGAUUGGAUUCGACUUUUAAGCUAAUUGGCGAAGAUUUUUUUGGAUUCUCUGAUUGGAUUCGACUUUUAAGUUAUGAUACAAAGAUUGUUUGAUUUCUCUGAUUGGAUUCGACAUAUAUUAAGCUGUAAACUACGAUCUGCUUAUUAAAAUUUAGAAUAUUUGUAUCUAAUUGACUGAUUAACCUUCUUGCUGUUGAGGUCUUGAUUCUCUAGAACCAGACAAUUGCCACGACCAGAGAUGUCGUACGCGGACUGUCUACUGAUGGAACAAGAAGAGACAACUGACAUUUACAAGAAACUUGCAUUCGACUUCAGUCUCUGACUCAGGACUGUAAGAUUAUCUUCUCCUUAAUAACUCAACCAGCAUUUAGACAGUCCUCUCUUGAGAUAUUCAAGUUUGGUUUUUUUGUUUCAUUAGCACGAUUUAGAGCUUCACAUUACUAAUUCCGAUAGUCUGUUGCAUCGCUAAUUGCUAUUCGAUUUAGAGGUUCACAUUACUAAUUUAGUCUGUCGGUUUCAUUCCUUACGGUUUCCGGUCUGUUGGAUUUCGGAUUUUCAAGUUUGCUUUUAGUUUAAUUAUGGGAAAAAAUAUGAAUAGCCCAUUUAAAAAAGGCCUAAUAUAUUGUCGAUAGAUGUUAAGCCCAUAUAAUUAGAUAACUUGCGCAAGAUUGUAAACUAAUUUUCAUAUUAAUAACUUUCCUUAUUAUUCGAAUCAAUUACUUGCGCAAGUUAUUUUCGUAUUUAUUACAUUACUUGUGCAAGUUAAAAUCAUAUCAUAUGCAAAUCAAUUUAUGACAAUACACAAUUAAAAUAUUUCUUUAAACGAUUUCAAUCUUUAUUAGGGGUCAUUAAUAUGAUAAAUAAAUCGGCUUAAUAUAUAUAUGAGAAACCCGAAUGGUUAAAAUACAAACAUUCAGCUCUAACAAAAACAAUGGCAAUGGUGCGAGCCAAAAAAAAUAUUGUUUCUUAUGUGAGAGAAUUAAAACCCCGUAAAGAUACGUCCCGUAUUGAAGUUAGGAUUGUUCGCUUAUGGAGAAACUAUAACAAAGAAUCCGGAAACACCAUUGAAAUAGUGGUUGUUGAUAAAGAAGUAAGUAUACAUCAUACAACAUGGAUUUAUGAAAGAAGCAUCGUUUAUAUACUUAUUCUGCGUUUAUAAAACUCUUAUAAUUUUUGUGACCAGGGGACAAGAAUUCAUGCUUCAGUUGGUGAACAACUCAUCAAAAAAUUCGAUGACAAGCUACGAGAGGGAGAUGCGAUUGUCCUCCAGUUGUUCAAAGUGUACGAUGCAACUGGUGAAUACCGUACAAUGCCACAUCCUUACAAAAUUGGCUUCUUUCCAACAACUUUUGUUGGAAAAACUGAUGAUUUUCCAAGUGCAGUUCCCGAAAAGUAUUUCGCGGACUUUUCUGAUAUUCUUGGUGGAAAUUUGGAUCAUAACUGUUUGGUUGGUGAGUUAGUUUCUUACGCAGUUAAAGAGUCUUUCACUUUGUAGUAACUUGUUUCUGAUUUGACACUUAUUUUUAUUAUGUAGAUGUGGUUGGCCAAAUAGUUAACGAGGCUCUCUGGAAAACAAAAUAAUAAAAGUAAAAGACAACAUGAAGCUCUUGGUUGAGUUGCGUGACCCAAAGUAAGACCCGGUUUUUAAUCUUAGUUAUACUUUGCUAGCUAAACCUCUAUUAACUGUAUUUAACUUAAGUUUAUAUUAUACAUUAAUGUGAAGAUGAUGUGUACUCUGUGGGGUUUUUAUGCUAAACAAGUAUACGAUUACAGUAGGAGUAACAUGUCCACCAUGAUUAUUUGUGUUAUCAGAUUAUGUUCUGUUAAAGAGUGGAAAGGUAUAUAAUUGUGUUUCAAUUUGUGUAAAAUAAUUGCGAGCAUAACAUAUGAAUAAGAUCAAUAUACUUUGUAGGUGCUUACUCCAUAUCUAGCGGGUAUAAUUCAAUCCAUAUUCUGCUCAACCCAACACUUGAUUUUAUUGAGGAGUUCAAAUCAAGGUACGUGUCAUGCGUCUUACGUUCCAGACCUAUGGAGGAGUUCAAUACAUAUAGAUGUUUAUUUUAAUUUGUGAACGUCAUUUUCACUGACGGGAUUUUAAAUUAUGUGUGAUUAUUUGUGAUGGCAGUCUCCCUGAUGAUUCACUUGCUCUUACAAACAACGAUAGUAGCCAAUGGUCUGUUGGUACUGCUACUUCUAUUCGUGCCAGGUUUUUUGUUCUUAAUGAGAGGCUAACCAUCAGAGAGAUCAUUGACAAUACUCUGGUAUAUAGACUACACUCUUUGAUCUCAAAUUUUUUACACAUGCGUAUACUCCAUGUGUUAUCAAUGCUUUUAACAUAUUGUUAUUGACGAAUAGGUUGACACUUUUGUCACUCUGGGGACUAUUGAAACAAUUGAUACUGAACGUGGCUGGCAAUAUUUAAGUUGCAAAUACCACAGCAAAAAGUGAUGCCUACCACCAAUGUUGAUGCUGAUGGCCGGCCCUUGUUCUUCUGCAAUACGUGUGACAAAGAACACAGUGAUGUCAUUUCCAGGUAUUGAGCGGGUUAGAUAUACAAAUAGAUGAGUUGGGUAAAUCGUCACUGAAAUAGUCUGUGACGUUAAUUAAUUUUUUUGUACAGGUUCAAAUUAAUUGCCCAUGUCAAGGAUGAUAGCGGUGAGGCUAAUUUUCUUUUGUUUGACGCUAAUGCUCAACAAAUUGUGCGUCAUUCUGCUGCUGAACUCUAUGAUGAGGUACUCUUAUGCAAUAUAAUUAUACAUCAAUUAACACAAUAAAUUCGUUUGUUUAACCUAUCUCUAUGUAAUUGUAGAAUGAAGAUGAAGACUUCUUACCAGAAGCAGUUAGCGAUCUCUUUGGUAAGAGAGUCCUUUUUGAGAUUUCAGUUGACGCUGAUAACAUUAAAGGAAAGAGCUCUCAGUAUGUGGUUCGAUUGGCUACUGAUGACCGUGAAAUGGUUGAGGAAUUUGCUGAUUUGCCUCCUAAACCGGUAAUUUACUGCUUCUAAUUGCGAUUAAUUUGAUUGUUACAGGAGCAUAAUAUUGAUUCGAUUAAAUCUGUUUCUUGCAGGUCCUAAUGUUGGAGUCCGCAUAUGAUAUUUCCUCUGGUUCUGGUGGUUUUACAGCAACUCCUUUGUCCAAAAGAAAAAGCGAACAAGAUGACGAAAGUUACCUUGAGGAUCAACACUCUGUUAACAAGAAACUCUCUCAAAAGAAACUCAAGGGCGAGUGAACUGUCUCUUUUUCAAAUGUUGUCCUUUAUAUUGUUUGCUUAACUCAUCAAAUUACUUACAAAAUUUAUUUAAUUUUUUGCAGGUUUCUAAUUGAAUUUGCUUUCUUUAUCGAGAAAUGUACUUCAUAAUUUAUAUUAUUUAUGGAUAAUAUUUUGAUUUUUAUUAUAUUUUCUUUUAAUAUGUGUACAUAAAUGUUUGUUUAUUAUUUAUGGGAAAAUAAUAUUAUUCACCUAAAAUAAAGAAUUACGAUACAUAUACAAUACAAUUCUAAUUAAUGAUAAUAUAAAAUAUGUUACUUCUAAAACUAUACACUUUUUAUUCCAUUUUUUAAAUGAAAGUAUCUUCGUAAACACACAAAAUAUUUUGUGACGUUGCAAUUAUACAUACACACAAUAUCUGCCUUCAUACUGACGUUACUGUGUUCCCUCUCGUGAGGUGUGGACCGAGAGGAAACACAUGGUGCGGGCCAGUCACGUUCUUAUGCCCGCACAGGGUGCGAACGGAUCACCUAGUAUAUAUAUAACAGGGCGGAUAACUCAAAUUCCCAGUUUAUAUUGACUGUGGCUAGUAAGUCAACUUUAACUCCUAUGCUUCUGAUUACAGACUCUCUCAACUGCACUACCUCCAAAAUUAUAGACUCUCAUCACAUUUAAAACCAACUAAAUGUCUUUUUAUUUUAUGAAAUUAAGUUUUUACCUUCUUUCUAAAAGAAUCGUUCAUAACGUCAUGCCAAAACAUGAGCUAAACGUCGCAUAUAGCAUGCAGAUGCGGAUGACUAUUUUGUUCGUNNNNNNNNNNNNNNNNNNNNNNNNNNNNNNNNNNNNNNNNNNNNNNNNNNNNNNNNNNNNNNNNNNNNNNNNNNNNNNNNNNNNNNNNNNNNNNNNNNNNNNNNNNNNNNNNNNNNNNNNNNNNNNNNCGCUUAGUUCACUCUUUACUCAAACUAAAUCUCAUCAUAACAAACAAGGUUAAUAACAUACACAAAUGGCGAACAAGCUCUUCCUCGUCUCAGCAACUCUCGCCUUCUUCUUCCUGCUCACCAAUGCCUCCAUCUACAGGACGGUCGUGGAAGUCGAUGAAGAUGAUGCUACAAACCCAGCGGGCCCAUUUAGGAUUCCAAAAUGUAGGAAGGAGUUUCAGCAAGCACAACACCUGAAAGCUUGCCAACAAUGGCUCCACAAGCAGGCAAUGCAGUCCGGUAGUGGCCCAAGCUGGACCCUCGACGGUGAGUUUGAUUUUGAAGAUGACAUGGAGAACCCCCAGGGCCCACAACAGAGGCCGCCACUACUCCAGCAGUGCUGCAACGAGCUCCACCAGGAAGAGCCACUUUGCGUUUGCCCAACCUUGAAAGGAGCAUCCAAAGCCGUUAAACAGCAGGUUCGACAACAGGGACAAAUGCAGGGACAGCAGAUGCAGCAUGUAAUUAGCCGAAUCUACCAGACCGCUACUCACUUACCUAAAGUUUGCAACAUCCCGCAAGUUAGCGUUUGUCCCUUCCAGAAGACCAUGCCUGGACCCUCCUACUAGAUUCAAAAACGAAACCCUCGAGUGUAUGAAUGUGGUUGUCGAUAUAUGUCAACACCACAACUCAUCGCGUACUAUGUAAGGUCUUAUCUAGGAUGUUUGAGGCUAAUGUAAUUAGCACUACUCCAAAAUAAAAGAGGUUUUAAUGUUUUAUUCGAUGUGCAUGCUCUCUUGAUCAACUUAAACUCGUACAUCGGCUGUUUAUCGGAAUGCAAAACACCGUUCAUACUGAUCUCUGGCUCUCCUCCACCAAUCAGUAAUCACGUAUAGGUUUUAAGUUGCUUAUAUUUUUCCUCCAUAAGAAACGUAUCAUGGAUAAACGGCGUUUCUUCAUUUUAAGACUACAAAUUAAUUCGCAACUAAUUUUUUUUUUUUUGUAAAAGAAUUCGCAACUAAUUUUUCAACUAUUAGACGAGCUUUAGACCAAAAAAAAAAAAACUAUUAGACGAGCAUUGCAUGAACUAUUUCUGUCUUUCGCUAGAGCUAUAGCAGACGAAUCCAUUUGACUCCUACGCUUGAAGCUGCCUUUUGUUCUUUCUAUGUAGUUUAAGAUGGAACGUUCUUUAAGAUGCAAACUAGAUUUUGACCCGCGCUUUCAAAGCGCGGGAUUGUUUCUGUUUAAAAUAAAAUAAAAAAUAAAAAAUAAAAAAUAAAAAUAUUUAUAAAUAUUUUGUUAAGUUUUGGUUGGAUCGAUCAAAAUAUUUGUAUUCGAAGAACCGAAUCAAACCCGUAAAGUUAUACCAAACCCAAACCACAUUGGGAAAAUACUUAAAUGGUCCAAAGCAUUAAUAUUGGAAUAGAUAGCACCAUACCCGACUUGAGUCAAAAUAUUUUGAGUAAUCUGAAAUUAUACGAAUCACAAUCUAUACUAUCUAAAAACCUAAAUAUAUGAAAAAUACUAAUUUAACUGAAAUAAAUUGAAAUAACAAAACUUUCUAGAUUUUAAUUAGACUUAAACGUUCAUUUGUAUUAACUCUAGAUUUUAAUAUUUUUUGAACCAAUAAAAUUUAAUAUUCUUUGUCCAACCAUUUUACCCAAAUUUGAUUACACAUUUUAGAUAAUCAACAAACACGUACAUGUUUAUUGUAAAAAAAAUUGACUGGAUUAUGGAAAUGUUUAUAAGAGGAUUUAGAGAUUAAAUAAAUUUAAUUGGUCGUCUGAUAAUCUUUUAAAUAAAGAGAUUAAAUAUAUCAUAUAUAUACUACAUACCUAAAAGUCCUACAAUUAAUGACCUAGAUUUUCUGAAUCUAUAUUUGUUAAUUUCACGCAUUUGUUUUCAUUAAACUGAUUUGUUAAUAUAUUACAUAUACUUAUAAAUAAAUGCAAUGGCAAAUCUCGUAAUAUCUAAUGAAAACUAAGGGUAGAAUCUUAAUAGGGAUUCUGCUUUAAUAGUAUAGAUGAUUACACAACUAAAAGGAGUACAAUGGGAGAUAUUUGACAUUUCUCCAAAAGAUUACCAUUUGAAAUAAAAUAAAAUGUAUUUGCAAAUAAAUCACAAAACUCUGUUAGAAAAGAAACUGAAUUUCUUAAGAAAGUUCUUAAAUUUUGUAACUAUAUUUAUAAGAAGAAAUAGAUUUUGACCCGCGCGUCCGUGCACGUGUAUUUUUUAAAAAAUAUGAUGUUAUUUGUCUUUUAUAUCACUAUUUAGGGUUGGACAAAAAACUCGAUUUCGAAGACCGAAUCGAUUCCAAUCCGGAUAAGUAGUACCAAAUCCGAACCGAAAUCGAUUAAAUAUCCGAAUUAUUCAAAAUUUUGGUAUCUUGAGAACAUAAAUCUAAUCUGAUCCGAACCGAAGUAUUUUGGGUAUCCAAAAUAGAUUUACAUACUUAUAUAUUAAUUAUUUUUAAAUUUAAUAUAUAUAAAAACAUUCAGAAUAUAUAUGAUACUUUUAAAUUCGUUUAAAUACUUGAAAUAUAUACAAAUAAUCAAACGUAAAUGUCUAAAAUAGUUAAAAUAUACUCAAAACUCCAAAAAUACUUAAAUAAUUAUUAAUUUCCUAUCUAAAUAUUUAAACCAAACCAAUUUAUAUUUUAAGUUAGGUACUCUGACAUAUGUUAUUCAAAUUUAUAUAUAAUAUAUUCGAUUGUUUAUAGAUUUUUUUAAAAUUAAAGAAUAUAAUAAAUUUUAAGUUUUUUUAUAAUAAUUUAAAUUGAUUAUCCAAAUCCGAACCGAAUCCUCAAAGAUCUGAACCAAAUCCGAACCGAAUCCUCAAAGAUCUGAACCAAAUACGAAAUUCCAAACAAAAAUGAACCCGAACGUCCACCCGUAAUCACUAUUAUAUAUUCUAUAUAUGUCAUCAUAAGUUACAAAAUAUGUGUUAUCAUAUAAUUAAUCAUACUUUAUAUGGUGUUGUCUUCCAAUUAAAAGGAAGUGGUCUCCUAUGGAUUUGCCAAAUCUAAUAUAUAGUAAAAUUAUAUGGUGUUGUUUCUUCAAAAUCAUUUGGAUUUAUGAUCGGAGUAUUGAUUUAGAAAAUGCUAGAUACUGUAUCUGUUCACUGCCAAAAAAUCAGUUCAUUAGUAUAUUUAAUACAAAUAGAUAAUACAAGUAUAUUUCACUAUAGUCACGAAAGAUUGAAUUACUUCAUUUAGAGCCAUUACUUUUUAUGUAUUUGUAUCUCUUAGGUAUAUAAGCAUAUUACUAAAUUAAAUAAGUAAAUUUAAGAAUUCCAAAUGUUAUGGAAACUCAAAGAUGUGAUGUUGAUAACAUUAUUAUCUUUAAACAUUUGAGCAAGGAAUAUAUGGCAUCUUAUUUAAUUUGAGAUUGAUGUACCCGACAAUUCACAAAAUUGUAUAAUUUAUAUAUUUUAUUUAUGGAAAUUAGAGAGUAACGCAUUAGCUUAUACGACUAUACCAGAAUCCCGUAGACUAUAUUUGAGUGAUUUUGCAACAUGUCUUUUCUACCAUCAAUUUCACAAAACAAAUAUGAUAUGACUACUGAAAUUGAUGACAUGUUUUAUAGCUUAAUAUGACAUAGACAAUUACAUUUAAUGUUAAUUUAUAUUUUUGAUAAACUUUUUAAAAUAUGGUAAUACUUCAUAUAUUACAUUUAAUGUCAAUUUAUAUUUUUUGGAAAUUAUUUUAGAAUAUAAGAAUAACUCAUAAAUCGUCAUUAAAAUAAAUGUAUUCAAAUAUGGCAUUAUAAAUUUUGAAAUAUAAUUUAAUUAUAUAUUUUUAAAUUAUACAAUUUUAUUACUAAAAUUUUCAAAAAUGUAUACAAUUUUUUAAAAAAAUUAUAAAAAUUUAAUCGUAAAAUCAUUAUUUUCUUAUGUAUCUACAAAUUUUACAAAUAUUGUCUAAUUUUAAUUUUUGGUAAUUAUGCAACUUUUACAAAUUUAUUUAAUUAAAAUAAAUAGAUAGAAAAUCUAUCUAAGAUUAUAAUUUCAAAUAUAUACAUGCAUAUUCUUAAAUAUAAUUUUUAUGUUUAAUUAAAUCAAAUUUAUAUUAAAAUAUUGAUAAAAAAAAGAAAAUUUACAAUAUUAAUAAAAAUUUAUUUUAAAAUAUAAUUUAUAUUUAUCUGUUAAAAAAUAUUUUAAAUUUUUUUACUGCACAUGGUGCAAGAAGAUACCUAGUUAUUUAUUUAUUUUUGCAUCUAUGAUUGUGUAAGAAGAUUAUGAAAAAACCAUAAAUUGCCAAACAUUAAGUAUGCAUGAUAUUCUAAUUAAUUAUCCCAUUGGUUCUCCCUUACUAUAUAUAGACAAGGUAUAAGUUUUUCCUAACAAUCACUACUACAAUCUAUAAGAAAUCUCCCUCUUGAUGUAACUUAAUAUGACAAUAUGUAAUUGCUUUGUUUAAUUUGAUCAAUGAAUUGAAGCCAUUCAAAUUGGUGUGGAAGAUUAAACUUAAAAUCAUUGUUAUUGUACUCUGUCUUACAUAACUUUAUAAAUCCAUCUUUUGUGACCAUGAUUUCAACCUCCGCAUAUUGAAGACAUAUAAUUAUGGUUUAAUAAACACUAGGAUAAGACCUGCGCCUCGUGUGCGUCUCGCGCAUGGUAAAUUUAUAGGAAAAUUAUUUAAGAAAUAUCGUAUGAAAAAAUAAAAUUUAUAUUCUCGAUCGAAUAAAUAUUUUUUGUCCUUAAACAAUAUUUUUAAAACUUGUUGUGAAUUAAGUAAUUUGUUUACUGAUGAGCUGAUCCCAUUUUAAAAAAUAUUUAGGUAAAAAAAUCACUUAUUACAGUAGCAGAACUAAUUUUGAGACAAAGACAAUAAUAAAAGUUUGAGAGAUCCAUAAUUAUUAAAGAGAACAUUCUGUAUCUACCCGCAAAUAUGCAUAUCUACGGUUACACGAACUAAACUAACCACAGUCGAUUUAUGUAUGAAGGAACACAAUGUGACAUCAUCACAUUUGAUUUACCAGUCUUCUUCCUAUUUUUACAUUGUUCUAUACAUGUUAUAUAUUUUUGUAUCAUGUUAGUUUUAUAUGAAUAUAAAACUGUUUGUUGUGUUUUCAACAUAAAUUCACUGGUCUCAAUCUAGUUACAUAUUAUACGAGACACAUUUAGUUUCCACCAUGACAUAGAUCUUCAUUACUAUUUCUGAAUUCUAAUUAAGCUCCCAAUAUAUAUUUUCAACCGCCCCCGCACCACCUCCAAAGUAUAUAUAGACUCAUAUCUCACUUACUGAAGGUUUUUUAAAAUAUUAUGAAGUUAAGUUUUUUACAUUCUAUUUUAAAAAUAUCGUUCAUAAGAUGUCACGCCAGGACAUGAGUUACACUUCACACAUAGCAUGCAGAUGCGGAUGACUGUUUUUGUUCGUCACUUGUCACUCCCUUCAAACACAUAAGAGCUUCUCUCUCACAGCGCGCGCACACAAAUGCAUGCACUAUUACACGUGAUCGCCAUGCAAAUCUCCAUUCUCACCUAUAAAUUAUAACUUAACAGCUUCACUCUUUACUCAAACCAAAACUCAUCAUAACAAACAAAGUUAAAAACAUACACAAAUGGCGAACAAGCUCUUCCUCGUCUCGGCAACUCUCGCCUUUUUCUUCCUUCUCACCAAUGCCUCCGUCUACAGGACGGUUGUGGAAGUCGAUGAAGAUGCCACAAACCCAGCGGGCCCAUUUAGGAUUCCAAAAUGUAGGAAGGAGUUUCAGCAAGCACAACACCUGAAAGCUUGCCAACAAUGGCUCCACAAGCAGGCAAUGCAGUCCGGUAGUGGUCCUAGCUGGACCCUCGAUGGUGAGUUUGAUUUUGAAGAUGACAUGGAGAACCCCCAGGGCCCACAACAGAGGCCGCCACUACUCCAGCAGUGCUGCAACGAGCUCCACCAGGAAGAGCCACUUUGCGUUUGCCCAACCUUGAAAGGAGCAUCCAAAGCCGUUAAACAGCAGGUUCGACAACAGGGACAAAUGCAGGGACAGCAGAUGCAGCAUGUAAUUAGCCGAAUCUACCAGACCGCUACUCACUUACCUAAAGUUUGCAACAUCCCGCAAGUUAGCGUUUGUCCCUUCCAGAAGACCAUGCCUGGCCCCUCCUACUAGAUUCAAAACGAAACCCUCUGAGUGUAUAUACCACGAUGAUGGGUGUGGUUGUUGAUGUAUGUUAACACUACGCAGCCAUGGUAUGUGUUCCAUAAAUAAUGUACUUUAAAAUCGCGGCUAAUGUAAUAAGAACUACUCGUAGACCGUAAUAAAAGAGGUGUUUUUUAAUUUUUGUUACUCUUGCUACUUCAUAAAAAGUGAUAAUUAAGGAUGCGCCAAAAAGAACAGAACAAUUAAUCUAUUCACAAGUAGUCCAAUGAACAGAAUAGACUAAAUGUUAAUUAAAGCCUUCGAGGCCAAUAAUAAAAGAUUAUCCACUGGGAUCAACCAAUGACUCAAAUUAAUCUGGUAUGAUCAGAUACUUCGAAACUCUUUUUGAUCACCAUGCAUCUGUAAAUUCCUGCAAAUAUUAAUUACUGAUGUUGCCUUUACUUAUAAACAGUACUUUGAUAGCAAAGGUAGUAAAUUUCUGUACCAUUGAUCAUCUAUAACUUUUAAUAAAUGCUAAAUACUCUAACCGCUGGGAUACUAUAUAUUGUUCAACUCUUCUUGGUGGAUGAUGGUUGGGACAUUACCAUUCUCUUUACAUUGCAAUACAUGUUUCAUGCAGUCCGCCGGAGCCCGAAAUAUUUUAUACCAGAUCAGAAUUUUUUUUUUCUUAUAUCAGCGUUAUAAUUUUUUUUAACUAUAAAAAAAUGAGAUUAAAACUAACAUAUCUUAAGUUUUAAAGAUAAAAAUGUAUAAAUAUUUUAGUUGUAUAAUUAAAUUUAUCUUUAAUGUUUAAUAAUUAUUUUGUGGGGUCAGCUGACCCUCCCUCUUUGUUAGUUGCAUCCUUUCACGGAGUGGUGGGUCUUAAGAUUUCUUUUAAAAAAACGAUUUCCGCGACUUUAUUCGAAAAAAUAUUUAUUAAUUAUUUAAUUUUUUUGUAAAAUUUAUAAAUAAAAUUUUGUUUACAAAAACAUAAUUUUGUAGUAUAUUAUUUAUUUAUAUCUAAACUACAAUAAUAAUAACAAAACUAAGUGUCUUGCCCGCAUAUGCAGGCUUAAUCGUUUUACAACUAUUUAUUAGUUUAUUUUUUUUAAUUCAAAAUCAGCAUAAUAACUUAUUAUUUAUGUUUUCAAAAAAUUAAAUAAAACAUAAAUAUAUAUAACAAAGUUAAUUAAAUAUAUAUGUUUAAUUAAAAUUUAUUAAUUGUUUUAUAUAUUUUUUAAAAAUUUAUAACUGAAAAAUAUGUUUUAAGAUAACAACACAAUAUAUAAGAAUUAUCUUAUUGUUUUAAAAAGUUAAUAUUAUUAAUCAAAAUUCGUUUCUGAUUAUAUAAUUAAUAUAUAUACAUAAAAUUCAUUAAGGGUAAUAUAGAUAUUAACCACUCUAACUUUGUUUUAUAUUUUAUUUUUAAAAUUUAUAAUUGAAACAUAUGUUUUAAGAUAACAACAUAAUAUAUAAGAAUUAUCUUAUUGUUUUAACAAGUUAACUAGAUCUUGACCCGCGCAACAGCGCGGGUAUUUAUUUCCAUUACGUAAACAUUUUUUUUGCAACAUUCGUGAUAUAUAUUAUAAUAUUAAAAUAUUUAACGUAUUACUAAUGUAUUAAAAUAUUGAAAUUUUUAGAAUAUAAUAAUAACUCGUAUAUCAAAAUAUGGUAAUAAUUCAUACAUCAUUGUUAAAAUAAAUAUAUUCAGAUAUGAUUUUCUAAAUUUCUAAAGAUGAUUUAUUCUAUUUUUAUAAUUAUACAAUUUUUAUUACUAAUUUUUUUAAAACGUUCUAUAUUAUUUUAAGCAAAAUUUAAUCGUAAUAUCAUUAGUUUCUUUUAUAAUAUCUAAGUUUUCUUUAUAAAUAUUGUUUAGUUUUAUUUUUGAUAAUUAUACAAUUGUAUAUCAUUUUAUUAGUUUUAUAAAGGUUGAUUUAAUUCAAAAAAAAAGGUUGAUUUAAUAUAUUUAACCAAAAUAAAUAGAUAAAAUUUUAGCGAAGAUUAUUAUUUUUAAUAUAGAACUAUAUAUAUUCUUAAAUAUAUUUUAAAAUAAGCAAAAUUAUUUUUAAUUUUAAUAAUAAUGCUUAAUUAAAUAAAAUUUCUAUUAAAACUUGGUAAAAUAAUAAAAUCUACAAUAUUAAUAAAUUUUAUUUUUAAAUUUAUUUUAAUUUAAAAAUAUAAGAAACACCGAGUUAAAAUAUUACACAAUAGACAAAUAUUGAGAAUCAUUUUGAAGAAAUAACUAAUCAGAGUUGUUCAAUGCACCCCAAGUCAAAAUAGAGAGGCUAGUUACUCAAUAAGUAGGACUUAAUUCAAGAAGCUUAAUAUUGUAUUGUAGGUGUUGGGUUGGAUGGGAUAUUAUUUGGUGGUCGGAUGAGAGGGUAUAUAUGUUGGGUCUGAGCUAUGAAAUGACCAAGUACACAGCAAAACCAAACUCAUAACUAUAAACAAAUCAAGGAUUUAUUCCACUUAUCAUAGGUUAGACCGUUAGAGUUCGAACUACAACGGCCGUAUCAAGACUCAACAGCACGACGAAGUUUCCUCACCUCCUUAUUCUUGAAAAGAAGUAAAAACAUAUAGAAAAUAAUGAAAUAUUUCACCAUGUCUUCUUGAUUUUCCAGUCAAACGAAAUAGAAGCAAAGCAAACUCACUCGUAUUUCUGUGAGGAAGACCGAUCAAUACUCUUUUGUCCUAGCAAAGAUUAUACUACAGAGAAAGUAAAAAAGCAAUGCGACCUGGUCAUUUCAAGAAGUUAAAUCUACAAAUUUUAGUAAAAAAAUCUGCAAAAGUAUGAAGCAGAAAAGUUUUAAAAGGGAAAGUACAGCCUUUUGUGCAGUUAUCAAUCUGAUGUGUUGUUUCAGUGGUUCUGCGGAAUCUAAUGCACAUAAGGAAAAUGUCGCACAGCUCUCUUCGAUAUUAUCUGUGGUUUCCCCAACCUGAGAAACUGAAUUAUUGUGGUCAUGUGGGUCAGCACACUGAAUCACUGAGAACCCUGGCUUUUUAGUAUCUAAAGUUUUAAGAUCGAAUGAAUUGUUUUUCGAUCCUCAUUACCAAGAAAUAGAACACAAAAAUACAUUCUGGUACAAUCCCAAAAUGUAUAAAACUGAGACUAACAAUAUUCACAAGAGAAAGUUCUUUAAAGAUCUCUAGUGAAACUACAGUGGUCAAGAACAUUGAGAAGAGAUAGUGCAAUGGAUGAAUAAAAGUACCGUAGUCCCGGCAAGUUUAUCCAAAACGACAUAAGAAGAGUCAGUCACAGCAAUAAUCCGCGACUUCCAGUCAAUUUCAUAAUACCUGAUACAAUCCAUCAUGUGUGCAGUGAAUAUUAUCACCAAAGCUUUCCAAUUUUCAAACAGUUUUCUAACAGUGUACCUUGGGGAACGUUUUGGUUAAACGUGCACACGCAAGUAAGUUCCAGCUUCAACAUACUGAUUAGCAUGAGAGAUACAAAACGUUUUCUGAGCUUCGCUAACAAUUUUUCUUUUGAUAGAAGAUCUCUUACGCAGUACUGAAGGACAGGUUAUUUCUUUAAAGAGUUUAACUUGCUAAGGAGUCGCAGUGGGUGGAGGUUUAGGGCAUACAAGAGCGUAAAGCACAGCUCCAAAUCGACAUAUAUUAGGUGAUUUAUCGGUUAAAAUGUUUUCAUAAACGGAGCCGGCUUUAUAGGAAAAAGUUGUUAUAAUAGUCGAUUAUUAUUAUGUGAUUAAUUAAUUAUAGCAAAAUGUUACUAAGAAAUAAAUGAAACAUAACUUCUUUCUAGUGAUAGUCCAUUUUUAAAAAAAUCACACAUGAAUCAAGGUUGUGACUUCUCUUUUAAUAUAUAAGACAUUAUUAAUCAAAAUUCGUUUUUGAUUAUAUAAUUAAUAUAUAUACAUAAAAUUCAUUAAGAGUAAUAUAGAUAUUAACAACUCUAACUUUCAACGUGAGAGUUUCGUUGCUAAAAAUUACUUCGCAAAUAAUAGUAUAGAUCAUUUAAUAUAUUUUUAUCAACUAAAUUUUUUAUCAAUAUUUUACAGUUAAUAUAUCUAUGUUAUUAUAUCAAAAAUAUAAAUACAUAUAUACAAUUUUUGUAGUAGGGCUCUUGUAAAGUGGGUGUUCCAUUCAAUUUUUUUUAUAAUACUGUCUACAUGCCCGACUCUAGUGGUGUACACUAUUUGGCGUAAACGUAAUGGAGGAAAGCAUAGAGAACAACAUCAGCAUGCCCUUCGAAAAUUCAACAUGAUUAUUUUACUAGGCCUAGUUAGUGUUGCAUCCAUUUUAUAAAUUCUUUUAAAUCAAAUAAAUUUAACAUUGAUUGAAGUAAAUGUAAAGAGAAGAACAAAUAAAAUGGUGAAAGCAGAGGAGGCAAACCAACAAAAUACUGGUUGCUAGGUUAGUUUUGCCCAUUUUUGUUAGAUUUUAACAUUUUUUUAGAAAAUAUUUCUUUUUAGAAAAAAUAGUGGGUACAAGACUACAAGUGCACCUAUAUAUUCUGAUGGAGAGCGGAAGCUAGGAAACCUAGGGAUCAAGGGUUUGAUCACUAGAUUGGUAACAUGUUCUUGAAGGUAACUCGGACACAAGGAUAAUAGGACGCGAAUACUCUUCGCAGCGCUUGUUAAAGCUUUUUAAAAACUCUAAAGAUGUAUUCAAUAUUAACCAAUCGUGACCUUACAAGCUUGAUUAGGACCCUUUAAAUACUAGAAACGAAAAACAUAAACCUAUAGGAGGAUUAGUUAACUCCUCUUUCUAAAAGGAAAACGAAAACACCUAAAAAGGAAAGUUAAAACCGACUUUAAUAUAAAAGGAAAUUCCUAUAUGGAAGAGAGUCGUGAACCUUGGCAGUCUCGUGUUGAUUGUGUGCGAUCAGAGAUUGAGCUGCAUCACAUUCGUCCCUGGUUACAGUUACACAAGAGGCACUAGUGCAUUUAUCCCUUAUAUAUUAAAAAAAAAGCAUUGCAAUAAAUGUAUCCACACUAGACACGUGACAGUCUUACAAUGAUUUGAUAAUAAGUAUGUUAACGCGUUCAUAUUAUAUUCAUAAAUGUAUUCACACUAUGUAUUUUGCGAUUUUUUUAAUAUAAAACUCACAUACAUAGUUUCAAUAAAACUCUGGAUUUUUUUGUUUGAAUAAAAAUAGAUAACGAAUCAAAAGCUAAACUAUAUAUAUAUUAUUUUUAUUGUUUACGGAUAAAAUUGAGCAAAAUAUUCAUAAAUUUUGAUUUGAUUCGUUAUAUGUUUUGAUUUGAACCAAAAAAUCUGGAUAUCUGUAACACUACGAAACAAAUCAAAUACUAAAAUACAAUAUCCAAAAAAGAAGCAAAUCACAAAUACCAAUAUUUUUAGGAACAUAUAUCUAGUUCGAUAUGUUAUAUGCAUAUCUAUAUAUACAUAUAUGUAAAAAAUUAUAUAUAUACGUUAUAUAUAUUAUACUUUAUAUCAGUUUUACAAUAUUUUUUAUGAAUUAAAUUUAUUAUAUUUUUAAAAAUUCUAAAACAUUUCGGUUAUCCGAGUCACUAAAUAUCUAGGUGGCUAAAGAUCGAAUCGACACGAAUGCUUCCAAAUACCCAGAUAUUUGAUCUGUAUCCACCCCUGUUUACGGAUACAAAUUUAUUUUCUUUAUAUAUAAAAAAUGAAUAAUGUCAAAGCCUUUUUUAUUUUAAAUUAAUUUUAAUUUUAUCUUUCAUGUAUUAUUAUUAGGGCUGGGCAAAAAACCCGGAUCCGAAGAACUGAACCGAACCCGAUCUGAAAAAGUAGUACCGAACCCGAACCAAAAUUGAUUAAAUAUCCGAACAGGUUCAAUAUUUUGGUAUCUAAAGAAUCGAAACCGAACCCGACCCGAACCGAAAUAUCUCGGGUACCCAAACAUAACCGAAAUAGAUUUAUAUACCUAAAUAUAUUACUUAUUUUUAGAUUUAAUAUAUAUAUUAAACACAUCUAAAAUAUAUAAGAUAUUUUUAAGUUGUCUAAAAAACUUGAAAAUAUACAUAAAUAGUCAAAAGUAAAUGUCUAAAAUAGCUAAAAUAUAUUCAAAGCACCAAAAUACUUAAAAUAUCAAUUGAUUUUGUAUCAAAAUAUUCAAAUCAAACCAAUUUAUAUGUAAAUUUUAGAUAUUUUGACAUAUAUUAUACAAAUUCUAUGUAAUAUAUUAUUUUGUUUUAUAGAUUUUGAGAAAUUUUAAGCAUAAAAUGAAUAUUAAAAUUUUAAAAAUAAUUUAAAUGGGUUAUCCGAAUCCGAACCGAACCCGCAAGGAUCCGAACCGAAAUUUAGAAAUACCCGAAUGGGGCUGAAAUCUUUAAACCGAAAACCCGAAACGCGAAUAGAUCCAAACUGAGCCCGAAUGGGUAUCCGAACGCCCACCCAUAAUUAUUAUGAAAAAAAAAUAUCAUUUAAUAUUAAUUAACAAUAUAUUUAUAUAUUUGUCAACUAUUUUUAUAUACUUUUUACAUACACAUAUAUGUGCACCUUGAUGUGAAUACCUUGUAACUAAGUAUUCACCACAAAUGAAGUAUCUAAUUUUUUUAAAAGUUGAAAUAUUAUUUCUUAAUGCUUCUUUCACUACCGACCAAAUUGUAGUGAAAUGAUUUGUCUUAAUAAUUUUCUUUUCUUUUUCUUAAACUAUUAUCUGUUUAGAAACUAUUGGUUCGACAUGACGACUAUCUAAAAUUUAUAACAUGAAAAUAAAUAAAUAAUAUUAAUUUUGGUUUUUACCGGAAAAAAAACCAAAAUUCAAAUAUUUUAACCGAAUAUACUAAAAUGAAUAUUAAUUUAAAAUAAUAGUUAUAUUUUAGAAGAUUAAAAACGAAAAAAAACUUAAUACCGAACUAAUAUCCAGAUUAAACUGAUUUAAUGUCUUUUUAUUAAAAAUAACGAAACUAAUAAUCAUAUUCCUCGCAAGGCUCGCGCGGAUUAUUACCUAGUCCCCUAGUCAUCUAAGAAAAUAGAUGGAUAUAUAAAAAAAAUUCUAUUACUUUGAACUUUUUUUUGUAUUGUUUAAAAUUAUGUUUUAAAAGAAAUAUUAUUUAUGUUUCUAAUAUCAAGAUUAUCUGUGUAAAUAUUUUUAAUGAAAUCACAUUAUAUACAAAUUUAUAUUUUUCAUCUAAGAAAAUAUAGAUAUAAAUAAAGUAUUUUCUUAUUUCAAAAGUAUAUUUUAUGUUAAUUAAAAAUAUUUUUUAAAUGUAAUAUUACUAUUUUGUGAACUUUUUUUUAUGAAAUCAUAUAUAUAUAUAUAUAUAUAUUUCGUUUUUCAAUUCGUUUUUUAACUUUAUUAAAAAUUCCUUUUUAUUAUGUGUAUAUGUUUUUGGAAAUUUUUUAAAAGCAAGCUAAAUAAAAUAAAUAAAUAAUAGUAUUUAAUAUUUUAAAUUCAUUAAGGGUAUCAGUAUAAUCAACCAUCCUGAUAAUUAAUGUGGAAGCGACACAUAGGAAAGUGACUUCUCAAAUAAUAUUAUAGAGAUUGAGCUACACCUUAUAUGUUGUACAUAAUCAUAAUAUAUACAAUCAACAUAUUAUUAGAUAUCUAAUCCCGCGCAAAACGCGGGUUACUACUUAGUUAGAUAUUAUACGAGACACAUUUAGUUUCCACCAUGACAUAGAUCUUCUUUACUAUUUCUGAAUUCUGAUUAAGCUCCCAAUAUAUAUUUUCAACCGCCCCCGCACCACCUCCAAAGUAUAUAUAGACUCUUACCCCACAUACUGAAGGUUUUUUUAAAUUUUUUGAAGUUAAGUUUGUACAUUCUGUUUUAAGAAUAUUGUUCAUAAGAUGUCACGCCAGGACAUGAGCUACACUUCACACAUAGCAUGCAGAUGCGGAUGACUGUUUUUGUUAGUGACUUGUCACUCACUUCGAACACAUAAGAGCUUAUCUCUCACAGCGCACACACACAAANNNNNNNNNNNNNNNNNNNNNNNNNNNNNNNNNNNNNNNNNNNNNNNNNNNNNNNNNNNNNNNNNNNNNNNNNNNNNNNNNNNNNNNNNNNNNNNAUAACAAACAAAGUUAAAAACAUACACAAAUGGCGAACAAGCUCUUCCUCGUCUCGGCAACUCUCGCCUUUUUCUUCCUUCUCACCAAUGCCUCCGUCUACAGGACGGUUGUGGAAGUCGAUGAAGAUGCCACAAACCCAGCCGGCCCAUUUAGGAUUCCAAAAUGUAGGAAGGAGUUUCAGCAAGCACAACACCUAAGAGCUUGCCAACAAUGGCUCCACAAGCAGGCAAUGCAGUCCGGUAGUGGUCCUAGCUGGACCCUUGACGGUGAGUUCGAUUUUGAUGACGACAUGGAGAACCCCCAGGGCCCACAGCAGAGGCCUCCGCUGCUCCAGCAGUGCUGCAACGAGCUUCACCAGGAAGAGCCACUCUGCGUUUGCCCAACCUUGAAAGGAGCAUCCAAAGCCGUUAAACAACAGGUUCGACAACAAGGAGGACAACAGGGACAGCAGGGACAGCAGCUGCAGCAAGUAAUUAGCCGUAUCUACCAGACUGCUACGCACUUACCUAAAGUUUGCAACAUCCCGCAAGUUAGCAUUUGUCCUUUCCAGAAGACCAUGCCUGGGCCCUCUUACUAGAUUCCAAACGAAACCCU
RNAcentral lists this long non-coding RNA (21403 nucleotides) under Brassica rapa (field mustard). RNAcentral's name for it is "long non-coding RNA (BRAP_LNC000210)". Lineage: Eukaryota; Viridiplantae; Streptophyta; Magnoliopsida; Brassicales; Brassicaceae. The record is from RNAcentral.